RNAcentral lists this ribosomal RNA (579 nucleotides) under uncultured bacterium. RNAcentral's name for it is "partial 16S ribosomal RNA". It matches the Rfam family "Bacterial small subunit ribosomal RNA", at positions 355 to 925 of the family's 1533-position model. The record is from RNAcentral.
UGGGGAAUAUUGGACAAUGGGCGCAAGCCUGAUCCAGCCAUACCGCGUGGGUGAAGAAGGCCUUCGGGUUGUAAAGCCCUUUUGUUGGGAAAGAAAUCCAGCUGGCUAAUACCCGGUUGGGAUGACGGUACCCAAAGAAUAAGCACCGGCUAACUUCGUGCCAGCAGCCGCGGUAAUACGAAGGGUGCAAGCGUUACUCGGAAUUACUGGGCGUAAAGCGUGCGUAGGUGGUCGUUUAAGUCCGUUGUGAAAGCCCUGGGCUCAACCUGGGAACUGCAGUGGAUACUGGGCGACUAGAGUGUGGUAGAGGGUAGCGGAAUUCCUGGUGUAGCAGUGAAAUGCGUAGAGAUCAGGAGGAACAUCCAUGGCGAAGGCAGCUACCUGGACCAACACUGACACUGAGGCACGAAAGCGUGGGGAGCAAACAGGAUUAGAUACCCUGGUAGUCCACGCCCUAAACGAUGCGAACUGGAUGUUGGGUGCAAUUUGGCACGCAGUAUCGAAGCUAACGCGUUAAGUUCGCCGCCUGGGGAGUACGGUCGCAAGACUGAAACUCAAAGGAAUUGACGGGGUCAUAGC